Long non-coding RNA from Zingiber officinale, 924 nucleotides. RefSeq lists it as uncharacterized. The record is from RefSeq and is a predicted model, not a curated record. Lineage: Eukaryota; Viridiplantae; Streptophyta; Magnoliopsida; Zingiberales; Zingiberaceae. The transcript has 4 exons.
UUAGAAAACAGACAUGAAAAAUGCAAACCAAACACCAUUUUUCAGAAAUACGCGUUUUUCAAAAAAUGAAAAUGAAAAACAUGCAAACCAAACGCACCCUAAGUUUUUGUCAAUUUAUGAUUAAGUAUAUACACUUGAGGUGACCCUUGCCAAUGGUCUGUCUUCAGAUUCAGCAUAUUUAUUAUUUUCUACUUCGAUAAAGUAUAGCAAUGAUCCUGAUACCAAUCAACGGAGAUGGACCUUGUAAAAUGUCUUCGGAAAUUUUAUGGACAUAGAGUUCCUCUCGAUAUCUAAUUUUUUUGCUUGGCUUGUUUCUUUGUUCUACAAACUCCCAAGUCCAAUGUGUUCUUCGAGCCUCAAGGCAUGGAUGAUGGAUCUAACCGCAAUAUGCAUACACUUUGGAACUUUGGAAUCACAUGUUAGCCAAGUGUGCAUUUUCAAUUUCAGGAGCAGAUCAGGAGCUCAUGUGGCCUUUCUUGAUACUGAGUACAAAAGGAGAUGCAGCAUCAUUUGGAAAUUGUGAAAGAGCAAGAGCAUACAAAGAAGAAAAUUUUAUUCUCUAAAAGAAUUUGAUAGUACCCGGGAGCAGAAGUGUUAAAGUGGAUGAUAGAUGGAGGUGAUCCAAUGCACUGCUACAUGAAUGCAUCUUGUUAUCCUUAAAGAUUUGUGAUUUGAUGAUAGUGGAGAUAGAUGGAGGGGAUCCAAUGCACUAAUCAGAUCUCAGUGCUCUGCUCUUUAAUGUGUUUGCCAACUCUUCUGAUACCUCCACAAGCAGUGACCCACAUGAACAACCCCAGAAUUGCAGGCUGCACUAGGGGUGUCCAUCAUUUGUAGGUUGAAAGCUACACAGAUUUUGUUAUGCCUUUCUUUAUUGGAUUUAUUGCAUGGUUUUAGCUCAUCUAAUUUAAUCUUUGAAUUUUAGUA